Molecule: unclassified non-coding RNA, 328 nt
Filed under: uncultured fungus
Lineage: Eukaryota; Fungi
Description: partial contains 5.8S ribosomal RNA and internal transcribed spacer 2
Rfam family: 5.8S ribosomal RNA (bases 1-133)
Source: RNAcentral
UGGUUCCGGCAUCGAUGAAGAACGCAGCGAAAUGCGAUAAGUAAUGUGAAUUGCAGAAUUCAGUGAAUCAUCGAAUCUUUGAACGCACAUUGCGCCCUCUGGUAUUCCGGGGGGCAUGCCUGUUCGAGCGUCAUUGGAAACCCUUCAAGCGGUCCGCUUGGUGUUGGGCGCCGUCGCGUGUCGACGCGCCCCGAAUUGCAACUGGCUGCGGGUACCGACUCCCAGCGCGGCGAGGCGCCACAGCGUCAUGCGUCACGGCGGGUCGGGCCCUGCCGGCCACCAAAACUUCCGUCAGCUUGACCUCGGAUCAGGUAGGGAUACCCGCUGA